RNAcentral lists this unclassified non-coding RNA (310 nucleotides) under fungal sp. Its description in RNAcentral is "partial internal transcribed spacer region". The stretch from base 1 to 46 matches the Rfam family "Eukaryotic small subunit ribosomal RNA", at positions 1786 to 1831 of the family's 1831-position model. Lineage: Eukaryota; Fungi. The record is from RNAcentral.
AUGUCGUAACGAGGUUUCCGUAGGUGAACCUGCGGAAGGAUCAUUAACACGUAUCCAAACGUUAAACCCCCGCGUAGUUCGCAAUCUCUGAUAAAUCAUAGCCCGGAAAGUUGUAGUGAUUCAGAGACCUCUGGCUACGUGCGAACAUUGGAACAGUUACAAUCGAGCGGUAGUUCUAUAGGCAAUGUUUCCCCAAGCAGUCAGUGUCGUAAAGUGUCCCCCUAAUAACCCCACAGUUUAAUGUGAAGCUCAAUGUAAUACAUUGGGUAACAAAACUGAACAACUGUUAACAAUGGAUAUCUUGGUUCUC